RNAcentral lists this transfer-messenger RNA (381 nucleotides) under Sphingomonas sp. CFBP 8760. The stretch from base 1 to 342 matches the Rfam family "Alphaproteobacteria transfer-messenger RNA". From Rfam's summary of the family: Bacterial tmRNA, also known as 10Sa RNA or SsrA, is named for its dual tRNA and mRNA-like properties. Its role is to liberate the mRNA from a stalled ribosome. To accomplish this part of the tmRNA is used as a reading frame that ends in a translation stop signal. The record is from RNAcentral. Lineage: Bacteria; Pseudomonadati; Pseudomonadota; Alphaproteobacteria; Sphingomonadales; Sphingomonadaceae.
GCGUUUGCACACAGGGACAUGACGCCCUAUAUCGUUUCGGUCGGGUUCUACCCGGCUAUGGCGAUAAACUGCGGCGUAGACUAGGCGCAGCGGACCCGGGGGCGGUACCCGGCGGCUCCACCACUACCGGCUCGCAAGGGGCGGUAAUGACGGGGCCGAACUAGGAUCGACGUGUGUUGAAAGGCGCUGUUUUCGCUCGGAAUGGGACCACCGUAACGGCCCAUUACACAAGUGCCAACGAUAACGAAGCACUCGCGAUUGCGGCGUAACUGAGGGCCUCACGGCCUAAGGUUACUCCAAGAUAGCGCGGUUGGACCGCACCGGGCAACAGAAGCGGAAUCCAGCGGUACGGGGGGCACCGGGCAACAGAAGCUCCCCACU